AGGACGAACGCUGGCGGCGUGCCUAACACAUGCAAGUCGAACGAGUCCACUCUUUCGGGAGUGAGGCGAGUGGCGGACGGGUGAGUAACACGUGAGCAACCUAUCCUUGUGCGGGGGACAACCCGGGGAAACCCGGGCUAAUACCGCAUGGGCAGGCACCUCGAGUGGGGAGCCUGGGAAAGAUGGCCUCUUUACAAUGCUGUCGUGCAGGGAGGGCUCGCGGGCUAUCAGCUAGGUUGGGGGGUAAUGGCCCACCAAGGCAGCGACGGCGUACGGGGUCUGAGAGGACGACCCCGCACAUUGGAACUGAGACGACGGUCCAGACCUCCGUACGGGAGGCAGCGAGGUGGGGAAUAGUUGGGACAAGUGGGACGACAAGCCUGACCCAGGCGACGCCGCGUGCGGGAUGACGUCUCGCGGAGU
RNAcentral lists this ribosomal RNA (423 nucleotides) under uncultured soil bacterium. RNAcentral's name for it is "bacterial SSU rRNA". It matches the Rfam family "Bacterial small subunit ribosomal RNA", at positions 26 to 424 of the family's 1533-position model. The record is from RNAcentral.